GGGCGCGUAGCUCAAUUGGUAGAGCAUUUUCUUGACGUGAAAAGGGUUCCCCGUUCGAGUCGGGGCGCGCCCA
This 73-nucleotide transfer RNA is filed under the name Negativicutes bacterium. RNAcentral's name for it is "tRNA-Val". It matches the Rfam family "tRNA". Rfam says of the family: Transfer RNA (tRNA) molecules are approximately 80 nucleotides in length. Their secondary structure includes four short double-helical elements and three loops (D, anti-codon, and T loops). Further hydrogen bonds mediate the characteristic L-shaped molecular structure. tRNAs have two regions of fundamental functional importance: the anti-codon, which is responsible for specific mRNA codon recognition, and the 3' end, to which the tRNAs corresponding amino acid is attached (by aminoacyl-tRNA synthetases). tRNAs cope with the degeneracy of the genetic code in two manners: having more than one tRNA (with a specific anti-codon) for a particular amino acid; and 'wobble' base-pairing, i.e. permitting non-standard base-pairing at the 3rd anti-codon position. Lineage: Bacteria; Bacillati; Bacillota; Negativicutes. The record is from RNAcentral.